GGAGCAGUUAGAUAGGGUAGAGGCAGAAGUAGACGCAAUUAAACAUGAAGGAUUGUGAAGGCAAAAGAUGAACCAGCCAGCCUAGUCUCUGGAUGCAUAAGCUCCAAGUGUGGAGGAGACCCGGAGAGAAAAGCAGACUGUUCUCUGUGUUUACCUGUAAGUACAGGCCGCAACCUGCCAUGCUGUUUUUAAAUGCCCAAGGGCUGGUGACAAGAGGGUUUCCCUUUGCCAUCUGGACCUGAUUGCCUUAGAGUGAAAGUCGACAUUGCAAACCACAGUGACAUGUGGAUAAAACUCACGAUGUUGGGGGGAGAAGAGCAAAACAUAUGCUUCACAAUAAAAACACUCAAUAUCCUAGGAAUAGGAGGGAACUUCCUCAACCAGAUAAAGGGCAUCUAUGAAAAACCCAGAGCUAACAUCACACUUAAUCGUGAAAGACUGAAAGCUUUCCCUCUAAAAUCAGAAACAAGAAAAGGAUGUCUACUACUGCCACUGCAAUUCAACAUUGUUCUGGAAAAUUCUAGGCAGAACAAGCAGGCAAGAGAAAAGAAGAGGUAUCCAGAUUGGAAAGGAAGAAAUAAAACUGUCUCUGUUUGAGAGUUGUCAUAAUCUUGUACAUAGAAGAUUAUGAAGAAGCUACCAAAAACUAUUUGAAUGACUAAACAAGUUUAGUAUGGUUGCAGGAUACAAGAUCAAUAUGCAAAAACCAGCUGUAGUUCUUCUAUAUGUUGAAAAGAAGAAAAUUUAGAAUGAAAUUAAGAAAAAUUCAUUCACAAGAGCAUCAAAAAGAAUAAAAAAUAAGGCCAGGCAUGGUGGCUCAUGCCAGUUAAUCCCAGCACUAUGGGAGGCUGAGGAAGGAGGAUCACUCAAGCCCAGGAGUUUGAGACCACCUGAGCAACACGGCAAGACUCUAUCUCUACCAAAGAUUUUAAAAAAUUAGCCAGGUGUAGUGGCCAUGCCUGCAGUCCUAGUUACUCAGGAGGUUGAGGUGGGAGGAUCACUUGAACUCAGGAGAUUGAGGCUGCAGUGAGCUAUGAUCUGGUCACUGUACUCCAGCCUGGGUGUCAGAGAGAGAGAUCCUGUCUCUAAAUGAAAAUAAAUAAAUAAAUAAAAGAAAAUUUUAAAAAAGAAUGAAAUACUUAGGAAUACAUUUAACUAAAGAAGUAUGAGGCUUUUUACAUUGCAAAACUAUAUAACAUUGUUGAAAGAAACUAAAGAAGACCUAAAUAAAUGGAAAGACAUCCCAUGUUUAUAGAUGGAAAAGUUUAAUAUUAAGAUAGCAAAACUUCUCAAAUUGAUCUACAGAUUCAAUGCCAUCCUUUCAAAAUACCAGCUAACUUUUUUGCAGAAAUUAACAAACCAAUCCUAAAAUUCAUAUGGAAAUUCAAGAGAAUCAGAGCAGUUAACCUUCAAAAAGAACAAAGUUGGAGUGUUCAUACUUCCUGAGUACUAAAACUUAGUACAAAGCUAUAGUAAUCAGAUAGUAUGAAAUUGACAUAAGGACAGACAUAUAGAUCACUUGACUAGGCUUGACAGUCCAGAAAUAAACCUUCACAUUUCUGAUCAAUUGAUUUUCUACAAGGCAGCCAACACAAUUCUGUUUUAAAUAUGGUGGUAGGACAACGGAUUAGCUACAUUCAAAAGAAUGAAGUGAGACCCUUAACUCACACCAUAAACAAAAACUAAUUAAAAAUGGAUCAAAGACCUAAAUGCAAGCAUUAAAACUAUAAAACUCUUAGAAGAAAACAUACGAGGAAAUCUUCAUGACCUUGGAUUAGUCAAUGGAUUCUAAGAUAUGAUACCCAAAGCAUAAGCAACAAAAGAAAAAAUAGAAAAAUUGGACUUUUUUUUUAAGAGAUGGGGUCUUAUUAUGUUGCCCAGGCUGGACUUGAAAUCCUAGGCUCAAGUGAUCCUCCUACCUCAGCCUCCUGAGUAGCUGGGACUACAAACAUGUACCGCCAUGCCCAGCUAAAUUGGACUUUAAAAUGGAAAACUUUUGUGCUUCAAAGACGUCAAAAAAGUGAAGACACAGAAUGAGAGAAAAUUUUCACAAAUUGUAUAUCUGAUAAGAGACUUGUGCCUAGAAUCUAUAAAGAAUGAUUACCACUCAAUAAUAAAAAGACAAAUAACCCAAUUAAAAAAAGGCAAAGGAUCUGAAUAGACGUUUCUCCAAAGAAGAUAAAUAAAUGGCCGAUAAACACUUGAAAAGAUGCUCAACAUCAUUUGCCAUCAGGGAAAAGCAAAUCAAAACCAUGAUGAGAUGAUGAGAUACCACUUCACACCCACUAGGGUGGCUAUAAUAAAAAAGACAGAUCGUAAUAACUGUUGGCAAGGAUGUAGUGAAAUUCGAACCAUCAUCACACAUUGCUGGUGGGAAUGUAAAGUAGCACAGAGCUUUGAAAAACUGUUUGGCAGUUUCUCAAAAACUUAGAGUUACCAUAUGACUCAGCAACUUCCCUCAUAGGUAUAUAGAAGAGAAAUGAAAACAUAUGUCCACACAAAAACUUGUACAUGAAUGUUCAUAGCCGUAUUAUUCAUAAUAGCCAAAAGUGGAAAUCACCCAAAUGGUAAACUGAUGAGUGAAUAAAUAAAAUGUGCUUUAUACAUACAAUGAAACAUUCUUUGUCAAUAAUGAAGAACUGAUCCCUGCUGCAACACAGGGGAACCUAAAAGCAUGAUGUUAAGUGAAGGAAGUCAGAUUCAAAGGUCCAUGAUUCCAUUAUAAAUGGCAUUCCAUCUGUGGAAUUCCAUAUAUGGAACGUCUAGAAUAGGAACACUUCCUUUCUAUAGAGACAGAAAGGAAAUUAGGAGUUGCCAAGAGAGGAUGGGGAGACUGGUGGGUGAUGGCUGAGAAGGUGGCCGUGUUUCUUUUUGGGGUAACGAAAGUGUUCUGAAAUUGAUUGUAGUGAUGGCAGUACAACUCUGAAUUUACUGAAAGCCAUUGACUUGUACAUUUUAAA
Long non-coding RNA from Gorilla gorilla gorilla (western lowland gorilla), 2960 nucleotides. RefSeq lists it as uncharacterized. NCBI's taxonomy places the organism in Eukaryota, Metazoa, Chordata, Mammalia, Primates, Hominidae. The record is from RefSeq and is a predicted model, not a curated record. The transcript is spliced from 3 exons.